CUACGGGUCGCUGCAGUCGAGAAGCUUCCGCAAUGGGGGAAACCCUGACGGAGCGACGCCGCGUGAGCGAAGAAGGUCCUAUGGAUUGUAAAGCUCUGUCAGAUUUGGAAGAAAAGUCUACGGUUAAUACCCGUAGGCCUUGACGGUACCAUCAGAGGAAGCACCGGCUAACUCCGUGCCAGCAGCCGCGGUAAUACGGAGGGUGCAAGCGUUGUUCGGAUUCACUGGGUAUAAAGGGUGCGCAGGCGGCCUGAUAAGUCAGGGGUGAAAUAUGACGGCUCAACCGUCAAACUGCCCCUGAAACUGUCAGGCUUGAGUCCGGGAGAGGAAGGUGGAAUUCCUGGUGUAGCGGUGAAAUGCGUAAAUAUCAGGAGGAACACCGGUGGCGAAGGCGGCCUUCUGGCCCGGUACUGACGCUCAGGCACGAAAGCAUGGGGAGCGAACGGGAUUAGAUACCCUUGUAGUC
This 466-nucleotide ribosomal RNA is filed under the name uncultured bacterium. Its description in RNAcentral is "partial 16S ribosomal RNA". It matches the Rfam family "Bacterial small subunit ribosomal RNA", at positions 339 to 795 of the family's 1533-position model. The record is from RNAcentral.